RNAcentral lists this unclassified non-coding RNA (344 nucleotides) under soil metagenome. RNAcentral describes it as "partial contains 5.8S ribosomal RNA, internal transcribed spacer 2, and large subunit ribosomal RNA". The stretch from base 1 to 120 matches the Rfam family "5.8S ribosomal RNA", at positions 35 to 154 of the family's 154-position model. The record is from RNAcentral.
GAUGAAGAACGCAGUGAAAUGCGAUACGUAAUGUGAAUUGCAGAAUUCAGUGAAUCAUCGAGUCUUUGAACGCACAUUGCGCCCCCUGGUAUUCCGGGGGGCAUGCCUGUCCGAGCGUCAUUGCUGCCCUCAAGCACGGCUUGUGUGUUGGGCCUCCGUCCUCCUCCCGGGGGACGGCCCGAAAGGCAGCGGCGGCACCGCGUCCGGUCCUCGAGCGUAUGGGGCUUCGUCACCCGCUCUUGUAGGCCCGGCCGGCGCUUGCCGACACAUCAAUCUUUUUUCCAGGUUGACCUCGGAUCAGGUAGGGAUACCCGCUGAACUUAAGCAUAUCAAUAAGCGGAGGA